ACCAAACAAUCUGGCUAUUCCUUCAAUCUGCAGCUCUAUCUAGACGAAAACAGCAGAAAAGGGUAUUUUUGAUACAAAUAUAUAUUUUAAAAAAGUCUCUAAAUGGCCAAGGAAAGUCAUAGAUUGGUCUUAACGGUCUUGCCUAAACAUAAUUUCCAGCUACAGAAGUCGCACUAACAGUGUAAAAAAAAGGGGGGUUGUUUUUGUAAACACAGCAGACAUUCAAAUGAGAUAUAAAUAAUUUUGGUAAAAAAAAUUGCAAUAAUUGAUAAAGAUCGGCUGUUUACAUCUUGAAAUUGUCUCUUUUUUUUUUAAAAGGUUGGAAAAGACCAAAGUCCAGAUUCUUAUCAAACUCAAAUCAAUUUGUUUAGAGGAAUUACUCCAGUAUUGGACACUAUUGUAUAAAAAAUGUUCAAAAUUACAGUAAAAAAUAUAACCACAUUGUGCGAUAAAAAUAAAAUAAAUCUUAUACUUAAUACAUCUUAUACAUGUUAUACGGCACUAAAAUUAUCUUCCUCUUUCGUAACAAAUUGUUAAAAUGCAAAAGUAAUCUAUUGCAAUAGAUUUCAUUAUACACAGUGGCGGAUUCAGCGGGGGGCGUAGAGGGCGUACGCCCCCCCCCCCCUUUUGCUUGACGUUUUUUUUUUUUUUUUUUGUAAAAUAAUUAAUUAGACUAGACUUCAUGAAACUUUCCAUUUCCUGUGUAUUAUGUUUUUAAGCGACAAUUCUUUGGUUACAAAUGUAUAUUUUGCACGUAUUUACUGUAUUAUAUUAUUGGUUAUGUAAAAGUUAUGUGAUUUGCUACGAGUUAACCAGUGCAUCGAAAAAACGUCAACUCAGUCAUUUUGAAAUUCAAAUAACAGUAACACAUUGCUUUGGCUGAGGGUGACAAGUAUGACACCUUCAAAGCGACAAAGAAUUGAGCAAGAACGUAGUGACUUCUAUUUCACAAUUCCACAAACAGAAAGUAAUACUCUAUUAUACUCUCAUAAAAAAAAGUUUCACAGCAAUAUUAUUUACCUAUCAAAACAUGUUAACCCCACACGCCUCAGCUUAUUAAUAACUGUUACAUAGCUGAAUAAUGAUCCCCAAUCAGCAAGCUCUAUAUAGAUUUAAAGUCUAAGGUAUGGCAGUUAGAUUUGAGGGGGAAGUCUGAGAUGUUUGAGAGAAGAAAAAUUACCCUGAUUUUUGCCUUAAACAUGUUAAUCAUGUUAAACAUAAAUUCUGGUCGUAUUUGGAAUGAAAACAAUAAGCUUGUCCACUUAUUUGCUAUUAGAAACAAAAUUUCCAACAAAAUUAUUUGGCCUUUAUGUCUCAAUUUGUCAUUCAUAAAUUCGUAGUCUUUUCAGACUCAUUUGUAGUUUUUGGUUGAAUUAGAACCUCACUUUCCUUGUUUUGUGAAACAUUUCAACCAAACAUUUUGAUAAAAUUUCUUGUUUGUCUUUCUUAAAUAGUGUCGGUCGUAUUGUAAAUUUCAUUGAAUAUAUAUAUAGCCCGGCGUUUAUCUUGUUUACAACAAGAUAUCUGUGAGGUUAUACCAACUAAACAUACAACAAACAAGAAUUUUCCAUGCCCAUAUUUUACUGACAAGUCUGACAUCAAAUAUAUUAGUCCAUAUCAUUACAUAAUAGAUAGUUUAUGUGGAGAAUACGGCAUAAAAAAUGUUUUAAGCUCGUACACUUUAACAGCAACUAUAGAAUAACAACAACAACAACAACAAUACAUUAUUAAGAGGGUUACACAGUAGCUAUAUAAACUAAUCUUCCCUGAGGACCCCUCAUCAUGGAGAAAUCAAACAAAAUGCAUAACAUUUACAUUGCUAACAUUAGUAUAAAAAGUCAAGUAUAGGUAAUAAUUUCUCAAUACAACUUGAUUAAAAAUGUGAUGAAAAAAAUAAACAUGAUGACAAUGUAUCAGUUUUUAAUAUUAUUGAUAAUAGCUAGAUUGAUUUCAAUAAAUGAUCUGUUUAUUUGUAUUUGAAAGAAUAACAUUUGUAUAUGCUUAACGGUAUGAAAUUAUUCCACUAAGAAUGGUCCAGAAAUACAUAAAGAUUUUUUGAACAACCUUCGUUUUUGUUUAGAGUAUGAGGUUUCCUUGAACAGCAUUUCUCAAGGGGUAUGAUUUCUGUCUUGAAACAUAAUGAAACUGUUAGUAAGAUAUGAUGGGGGCAUCAUUUUUAAUGCACUUAAAUGUCAAUCACUUAACUAUGAUAUUUUAUUCUCUGUUCAACUGUACAUCCAGUUUAAAUGUUUGAAUUGAAGGGUUUGCAGAAGGAGCGAAUGAGUCUGUUUCUAGUAUUAAUCUAGCAAGCCCUCUUUUUUAUUUUAAUAAUCCUUUUUUAAACCCUCACUGCUACAACUACUCCACACUAUACAACAUUAAUCAAUUUCAGUGGCAAGAUAUAACCAUGAUAUAGAAUAAUUUUCUGCAGUCUAGAUUUAGAAAUUUUUUAAUCUUUAAUAGUUACGAUAUAGAUCUAGAUGAUAUUUUUGACAGAUCACUCAAUCUGGUUUGUCCAUGUAGAAAGGUCAAUUUUAAUGCCUUAAAAAGACUUCACAUGUGAAGAUUGUCAGUCAGCUGAUGUACAUACGUUAAACAACUUCUCAAUUAGUAAUGUGGCAUUGCUCUUUGCUUCGUUCAAUAAUCAUAUUAUUUUGUUUUAUUUUUAUUGAUGAACAAUUGUUAUCAUUGCACCAUUCCCUACACCAUGUAAAUCGUCUUGUACCUUGACGUAGAGUUUGAUAACAAAUAACCAGAAAGAAUGUAAAGUUGAAUCACGCAUCAUAAAUCCAGCUGCAACCAAUUUUGCAAAAAUAGGAGAUCGUUUAUGUGAUAAUAUUAAAACAGAAGGGCCUAAUAGAGCCUUGGGCGGGGACACAUAAUUGAUAAUAAGUUUUUCAGAAUGAGCAUUACCAAUUUGUACUUGUUUGAGUUCUUUCAUUCAAAUAAUUGAUUUAAAAAAAAGAAACAGCAGUAUUAUCCAAAUCCAUUAAAUUUCAAGUUUUUUAAAGAAUAUCAGUGAUUUACUACAUCAAAAGCUUUCUAUAAAAUCCAACAGGACGUGCUUAAGUUGAUAUUACCAUCAUUCAUUGCCGUAUCAUUAUCUAUGAUAUUGAGAAAGGCAGUUGGCAAGAUGGUUCUUGUCGAAACCCAGGACUGUGCUGGGUAGUAAAAGAUUCUAAUACUUUUUAGGUGUUCAACAAAUGAUUUGAAACAUGCUUUUUCUAAAAGUUUUGAUAAAACGGAAAGUACAUGCCCAAAGUCAGGAACCAUUUAAAAAGUGCAUUUUACACUUAUUUUAUGGUUUUUUAGCCUAAAAAAGGUCCCAAAACAUUAUUUAUUUCGCCCCCCCCCUCUUUCCAAAAUCCUUGAUCCGCCCCUGAUACCUUUAAUCUUUUAUUCACAUAUAUAUAUAUACUAAAGUAAUUGUUUGUAUUUUACUACCAUGUAUUCGAAUUGUUUAUCCAUCUGGUCAUUACCAUUUAUUGUAAAUGCGUUUGUACCAAUAAAAUAUUGUCUAUUGUCUAUUGUCUGUUAACAGUGGCCGUCAGUUGGUCUGAUUGGGGUCUAAGCGUGAUGCAGGAUUACUGAUUUUUUGUAAGCUUGACACGUGAAAGUCAAAUUAUUGUGUCGUGAAAACGUGAAAUGAGGUCUAGCGGGACCAGGGAAAUGACAAAAAGUGAGAAUUGCUUACGUACAUAGUGUAAGCGGGAUACAGGAAUCUGACAAAACAGUAAGCGGGAUCCGGGAUCGUAACCCCCCAAUGAGACCCCCUUAACAAAUUAUGUAUUAGACUAGUCCAAGUAAUUAUGAUGUCUGGGAAGGCUAUUCUUUUUUUCUAGGAAGUCUUCCUCCCAGAAAAAAAAUAAAAUAGGCUUGCCAGAUGUCAUAAUUAUUUGGACUAGUCUUUGACAAGGUUGAAAAUAAUUAAGUGAGGUUCAUUCUUUUACAGAGUUAUGCCCUUUUAAAAUAUUAAUUAUAUGGAAUAUUGCUCUAAUGUACACAGAUUUUUAUGAAAUUUAUAUUACCGGUUUACAUCAUCAAUGUCUUUUGACAAGUAUAUAAAACACUGUGCUGUCAAUUAUUCUUAAAAGAGUAAGGUCACUUGUGUACAAUAUUAUUGAUAGAAUUUUACAAUCUUUAUCUAUAUUUUAUAACUUCUACCAAUCUAGGCACACCUCCAGAGUCCUGUCUCUUUGUAAAUAUAUUAGUUUUCAACAAGUAAAGUGAACACAUUUUUGUCGAGCCUGCAACUUUUGUUGCAGAAAGCUCGACAUAGGGAUAGUGAUCUGGCGGCUACAGCGUCGGCUACUGCGGCGCGUUAGCUAACUACUUAAAAGGUUUAUAUUUUAGAAGGUGAAAGACCUGGAUGCUUCAUACUUUGUAUAUAGAUGCCUCAUGUUACGAAGUUUCCGUCAGCACAUGCUCCAAUGUCUUGACCUCAUUUUCAUCGUUCAUGACCAUUGAAAACAAAAAGUCAGGAAUUUUUGUAAUGUUGAAUUCUCUUUAUUAUAAGGAAUAGGAUAACUAAUAUUGGUAUAUCGCCUACCUUGCCAAGGUCUCAUGCCCGUCAACAGUUUCUCACUUGACCUCGAACUCAUUUCAUGGAUCAGUGACAAGGUUAAGUUUGUUGGUCAAGUCCAAUAUCUCAGAAACUAAUAAGCAAUAGGGCUUAGUUAUAUUGGUAUGGAAGACUGGAACGGUCUGUACAUGUUCCAACUGGCAGUGUAUCUGGACUUGACUCAUUUUCAGUAUGGUUCAGUUUGUUAUAGUUAAGUUUUUGUGUUUUGGUCUGUUUUUCUCAUACUUUAUGCAAUAGGUCCACUAUAUUUGUUGUAUGGAAUGAUUGUAAGGUGUACAUGUCUAGCGGGCAGAUGUCAUCUGACCUUGACCUCAUUUUCAUGGUUCAGUGGUCAAAGUUAAGUUUAUAAGUUUUGGUCUUUUUAUCUAAUAUUAUAUGCCAAAGGUCAACUAUAUUUGGUGUAUGGAAAUAUAUUAUGAUUUAUAUGUCAGUCCUGCAGGUUUUAUUUGACCAUGACCUCAAUUGCACGGAGUUCAUUUGCACAGUGUUUAAUUUUUUUGUUUUGGUCGUAUCUUUUCUCAAACUAUAAGAUAAAUAGCGUCAACUAUAUUUGUUGUUAUGGAAGCUUUUUAGCUUGUACUGUCUGCCUGGCAUGGUUCAUCUGACUUGACCUCAUUUUCAUGUUCAUUUGUCUUUGUUAGCAUCUUGGUUCAAUGUUAAGUUUUAUGUGACAGUUGUAAUAAAGCUUUAUACUUUACUAGCCAGGGGGGACUCUGCUUAACCAUAAUAUCAAUGCAUUAGUAAGAAAGUCGACAGACAUUUCUCCGUGUGUGCACUCUUGUUUUAAUUAGGAUAGAGCCAAGGCAGUCCACAGCUUUUUUAAAAGCUCAAACUUGUCAUGCUUGUAUAAAAUCAUGUUACUUUUUUUAAAGGUUAAUUAUAUGUAGAGAAUUAUUUUACAGAUAUUAGAGAACAAGCAAGCAGUUAUUUUAAAGAAUGAAACUGGAACAUUGAAUUCCUUUCUUGGAAGGAGAAGAAAUAUAAAGAUGUUAUAAGACUGAUGUAACUAUGGACAGUAGUGAUCCAGUCACCAAUAUCACAGAUAUCACAGG
RNAcentral lists this long non-coding RNA (5634 nucleotides) under Mytilus galloprovincialis (Mediterranean mussel). The record is from RNAcentral. Lineage: Eukaryota; Metazoa; Mollusca; Bivalvia; Mytilida; Mytilidae.